Molecule: ribosomal RNA, 469 nt
Filed under: uncultured bacterium
Lineage: Bacteria
Description: partial 16S ribosomal RNA
Rfam family: Bacterial small subunit ribosomal RNA
Source: RNAcentral
UUCCAGACUCCUACGGGAGGCAGCAGUGAGGAAUAUUGGUCAAUGGGCGAGAGCCUGAACCAGCCAAGUCGCGUGAAGGAUGACGGCCCUACGGGUUGUAAACUUCUUUUGUCAGGGAGCAAUUGGGUCCACGUGUGGGCUUAGCGAGAGUACCUGAAGAAAAAGCAUCGGCUAACUCCGUGCCAGCAGCCGCGGUAAUACGGAGGGUGCGAGCGUUAAUCGGAAUUACUGGGCGUAAAGCGCUCGUAGGCGGUAUGUCAAGUCAAGGGUGAAAUCCCCGCGCUCAACGUGGGAACUGCCUUUGAAACUGGCAAACUGGAGUGUGUGAGAGGAUAGUGGAAUUCCAGGUGUAGGAGUGAAAUCCGUAGAUAUCUGGAGGAACAUCAGUGGCGAAGGCGACUAUCUGGCACAUAACUGACGCUGAGGAGCGAAAGCGUGGGUAGCAAACAGGAUUAGAUACCCUUGUAUA